RNAcentral lists this ribosomal RNA (894 nucleotides) under Paramysis agigensis. RNAcentral describes it as "SSU rRNA". It matches the Rfam family "Eukaryotic small subunit ribosomal RNA", at positions 30 to 918 of the family's 1831-position model. Lineage: Eukaryota; Metazoa; Arthropoda; Malacostraca; Mysida; Mysidae. The record is from RNAcentral.
GCUUGUCUCAAAGAUUAAGCCAUGCAUGUCUAAGUACAGACCGAUAUACAAGGUGAAACCGCGAAUGGCUCAUUAAAUCAGUUAUGGUUCAUUGGAUCUUACACGAGUUACUUGGAUAACCGUGGUAAUUCUAGAGCUAAUACAUGCAACUAAGCUCCGACCGCAAGGGAAGAGCGCAGUUAUUAGAUCAAAACCAAUCAGGUUCCUAGUCACCUGAUGAAGUUGUGAUGACUCUGAAUAACAUUGAGCUGAGCGCAUGGUCUCUGGACCGGCGCCGCAUCUUUCAAGUGUCUGCCUUAUCAGCUUGAUUGUAGGUUAUGUGCCUACAAUGGCUAUAACGGGUAACGGGGAAUCAGGGUUCGAUUCCGGAGAGGGAGCCUGAGAAACGGCUACCACAUCUAAGGAAGGCAGCAGGCACGCAAAUUACCCACUCCCAGUCCGGGGAGGUAGUGACGAAAUAUAACGAUGCGUGUCUCUAAUUGAGGCUUCGCAAUCGGAAUGAGUACACUCUAAAUCCUUGUACGAGGAUCAAUUGGAGGGCAAGUCUGGUGCCAGCAGCCGCGGUAAUUCCAGCUCCAAUAGCAUAUAUUAAAGUUGUUGUGGUUAAAAAGCUCGUAGUUGGAUGUCUAAUAUUGACUGAUGGUGCGCCUCUGGCGAUUACUGUCGGUUGAAAUAACUAGUCAGCUUGCAUGCGAUGCUCUUUAUUGAGUGUCGUGCGUGGCUGGCAUGAUUACUUUGAAAAAAUUAGAGUGCUCAAAGCAGGUUAAUGCCUGAAUAUGAUGCAUGGAAUAAUGGAAUAUGACCUCGGUUCUAUUUCGUUGGUUUACUGAACCUGAGUUAAUGAUUAAAAGAGACGGACGGGGGCAUUCGUAUUGCGACGCUAGAGGUGAAAUU